UGGCGGACGGGUGAGUAACGCGUGGAAAACCUGCCGUACACUGGGGGAUAACACUUAGAAAUAGGUGCUAAUACCGCAUAAGCGCACAGCUUCGCAUGAAGCGGUGUGAAAAACUCUGGUGGUAUACGAUGGUUCCGCGUCUGAUUAGCUAGUUGGUGGGGUAAUGGCCUACCAAGGCAACGAUCAGUAGCCGGCCUGAGAGGGUGAACGGCCACAUUGGGACUGAGACACGGCCCAAACUCCUACGGAAGGCAGCAG
Molecule: ribosomal RNA, 258 nt
Filed under: uncultured bacterium
Lineage: Bacteria
Description: partial 16S ribosomal RNA
Rfam family: Bacterial small subunit ribosomal RNA
Source: RNAcentral